AGAAACUAACAAGGAUUCCCUUAGUAACGGCGAGUGAACAGGGAUUAGCCCAGCACCGAAGCCUGUGGCCAUUUGGUUACUAGGCAAUGUGGUGUUCAGGUCAUUCCGCAGAGACAUUGCUCCACUCUAAGUCCAUCAAUGAGUACGGUAGUACAGACUUGGCCCAUAGAGGGUGAAAGGCCCGUGAGAGUGGAGAUUCAGGCAGGUCAGUGUCUCUCUGGAUAGACCUUGGAGUCGGGUUGUUUGUGAAUGCAGCCCAAAGUGGGUGGUAAACUCCAUCCAAGGCUAAAUACAAGCACGAGUCCGAUAGCGAACAAGUACCGUGAGGGAAAGUUGAAAAGUACUUUGAAGAGAGAGUAAACAGUGCGUGAAACCGCUCAGAGGUAAACGGGUGGAGUUGAACUGCAAGCCCUGAGAAUUCAGCUGGUGAGUGUGGUUUGAGCUUGGUCAAAUUGGUUGUACACUGGGGUCUGCGUAGUAGCAGGUCUCUGCCUUCGGGUGGGGAUGCGCGAGGCACUUAUCAUGUGUUGCGCGCUUCAGUUGUAUUCGGGCCUGCUCGCCAGUGCAUUUUCUCUGGGUGUUCACCACGACCGGCACUGCUGUCUGGCUGUCAUGGUUAAACCGGUCUUGCUUUGUCCUUGUGGCUUUGCUUGGUCGGGAUGGCAGGUAGCUUGUUGACUCGUCUGGGGCAACCUGGGCAAUGGGUCUUCAGGUGUAAUCAGCUGACUGUGAUGGUUCUGUGCAGUGUGUCGGAGACGGCGGCUUGUGGUAUGAACGCGCGUGCCUUGUCUGCUGGCUUGUUCGGGUUUGGUUGCUAUGUUGCUUGUUUCUGCAAGCCUAGCGAUGGCCUGGGCCUGUUGGCGGAUGGUUAUGUGCGGGAUGCUGUUCAGGGCCAAUAGUCUGUGGUGUAGUGGUAGACUUUCCACCCGACCCGUCUUGAAACACGGACCAAGGAGAGUAACAUGUGUGCGAGUCAUUGGGCGUAACGAAACCCACAGGCGCAGUGAAAGUAAAGGUCUGGCUUGUCCGGACUGAGGUGAGAUCUUGUCGUGUCUUACGCGCGGUACCACCAAGCAUUGAACGGCGAGCGCAUCACCGGCCCGUCCCAUGGCGUAGUCACAUAGGCUUUGUCCGAGUGCACCGCCG
Molecule: ribosomal RNA, 1146 nt
Filed under: Gorgocephalus yaaji
Lineage: Eukaryota; Metazoa; Platyhelminthes; Trematoda; Plagiorchiida; Gorgocephalidae
Description: partial large subunit ribosomal RNA
Rfam family: Eukaryotic large subunit ribosomal RNA
Source: RNAcentral